Molecule: ribosomal RNA, 402 nt
Filed under: uncultured bacterium
Lineage: Bacteria
Description: bacterial SSU rRNA
Rfam family: Bacterial small subunit ribosomal RNA
Source: RNAcentral
UGGGGAAUCUUGCACAAUGGGGCAACCUGAUGCAGCGACGCCGCGUGAGUGAUGAAGCCCUUCGGGUGUAAAGCUCUUUCGACAGGGACGAUAAUGACGGUACCUGGAGAAGCAGCUGCGGCUAACUACGUGCCAGCAGCCGCGGUAAUACGUAGGCAGCAAGCGUUGUUCGGAGUUACUGGGCGUAAAGGGUGCGUAGGCGGCCGUGUAAGUGUGGUGUGAAAUCUCCCGGCUUAACUGGGAGGGUGCGCUACAGACUGCAUGGCUAGAGUGUGGGAGAGGAAAGUGGAAUUCCUGGUGUAGCGGUGAAAUGCGUAGAUAUCAGGAGGAACACCGGUGGUUGUUAAACGGCUUUCUGGACCAUAACUGACGCUGAUGCACGAAAAGCGUGGGUAGCAAACA